ACUUAAAGGAAUUGGCGGGGGAGCACUACAACGGGUGGAGCCUGCGGUUUAAUUGGAUUCAACGCCGGAAACCUCACCGGGACCGACAGCGAUAUGAAGGCCAGGCUGAAGACCUUGCCGGAUUAGCUGAGAGGUGGUGCAAGGCCGUCGUCAGUUCGUACUGUGAAGCAUCCUGUUAAGUCAGGCAACGAGCGAGACCCACGCCCACAGUUGCCAGCGUACUCUCUGGAGUGACGGGUACACUGUGGGGACCGCCGCUGCUAAAGCGGAGGAAGGAAUGGGCAACGGUAGGUCAGUAUGCCCCGAAUAUCCCGGGCUACACGCGGGCUACAAUGGUUGGUACAAUGGGUAUCUACCCCGAAAGGGGAUGGAAAUCUCCUAAAGCCAAUCGUAGUUCGG
This 399-nucleotide ribosomal RNA is filed under the name uncultured archaeon. RNAcentral's name for it is "bacterial SSU rRNA". It matches the Rfam family "Archaeal small subunit ribosomal RNA", at positions 854 to 1252 of the family's 1478-position model. The record is from RNAcentral.